UACGUAGGGUGCAAGCGUUGUCCGGAAUUAUUGGGCGUAAAGGGCCUCGUAGGUCGGUUUGUCGCGUCGGGAGUGAAAUCCAUUGGCUUAACUGGUGGCUUGCUUUCGAUACGGGCAGACUGGAGGUAUGCAGGGGAGACUGGAAUUCCUGGUGUAGCGGUGGAAUGCGCAGAUAUCAGGAGGAACACCGGUGGCGAAGGCGGGUCUCUGGGCAGUAACUGACGCUGGAGGAGCGAAAGCGUGGGGAGCGAACAGG
RNAcentral lists this ribosomal RNA (256 nucleotides) under uncultured bacterium. RNAcentral describes it as "partial 16S ribosomal RNA". It matches the Rfam family "Bacterial small subunit ribosomal RNA", at positions 524 to 776 of the family's 1533-position model. The record is from RNAcentral.